GGACUCAGACUGUGAAAGGGGAAUAAACAACAGUUCCUGGAUUUGUCUAGUGUUGCAGCUGUGGGAGGCUCAUUGGCCUACCAGCAUCUGUUGAAGAUAUUUUCAGAAACCAGGCUAAUAUACAAAAGACUCUGACUGCAACAUUAAUGAUUAUCUCUGUGCUUCUGAUGGGUUUGGAUUUUUCUCUGCAUAGCCAGUGCUCAAUGCCUGACUAGGUUUCAGAGUGGUAGCCGUGUAACAGCAAAAAGAACGAGGAGUACUUGUGCCUGACUACUAGCUGCAACCUGAGGACCCAUGGCUGAAACCUAAAUAAAAACCUUUGGUGUCCAAAGCAGUUUUGGGAAGAGGAAAUAUUAACCCAGAUCCAGCUUUGGGCACUAUGGCUUACUGCUGAGACAUGAAAAUCAUUACAGGUCGCUGAAGGACAAUAGAGCUAUUUACACCAGUGUCUGCCUGCAAGCAAAGGUCACACACAUGACAAGAAGCUGGCAUACCAGAAUUUCGAAAGGGAAAGCAGAAUCAGGGACUCUGAGUCUAUGCCUGGGAGGCGCAGCAAAGAAGGUGACGCCCAGACGGAGGGAAGGAGAGAAAAGGUGGCUUUAAGCUACCUUUGUGUCAUCCGGAUUUUAGGUUGCUAUGGGAGCCGAAAUGACUGCUUCUGAAAGUUGGACAACCCUGGAACCUAGAAUCCCAUACAAGCUCACUUUUGUCCUCCAUGCUACCGACUUC
Mauremys mutica (yellowpond turtle) is the source of this 729-nucleotide long non-coding RNA. RefSeq lists it as uncharacterized. The transcript has 4 exons. Lineage: Eukaryota; Metazoa; Chordata; Testudines; Geoemydidae. The record is from RefSeq and is a predicted model, not a curated record.